Molecule: ribosomal RNA, 474 nt
Filed under: Donacia rufescens
Lineage: Eukaryota; Metazoa; Arthropoda; Insecta; Coleoptera; Chrysomelidae
Description: eukaryotic LSU rRNA
Source: RNAcentral
UGAACGUUCAGGGGUAAACCUGAGAAACCCGAAAGGUCGAAAGGGGAAAUUCAGUCUCGUUUCGGUCGUCGGCGAUUAGCGGUCGAGUGACGGACGGCGUGUGUUUACACGUGCCGUUCGCUCCUUCCGUUUCUCGAACCGAUAUCGAACGGGUGCACUUUUCCCCUAGUAGGACGUCGCGAUCCGUUGGGUGUCGGUCUAAGGCUCGCGGUGGAGCCCACGAGGACGUUUCGGCGUUCCGCGUGGACCCGCGGUGUCCCGGCCGACUCGCUCGACGGUAUAAAGAUGGCGCGGGGCCGCUACUUCAUAGUUAGCGUUCGGCCUGCGGCAAGCACGUCCGUUGUUCGACGGAGAUCGGACCUGGUGCCGGUCCUGUCCGCGGGCGACUGUUGGCUGCGGUGUUCUCGAACAGACCUCGUUGAAACGCCGAUCUGCGACGCUCUAGCUUUGGGUACUUUCAGGACCCGUCUUGAA